This is a non-coding RNA of Triticum aestivum (bread wheat), 114 nucleotides long. The record is from Rfam. Lineage: Eukaryota; Viridiplantae; Streptophyta; Magnoliopsida; Poales; Poaceae.
AAGGUACUCCCUCCGUUCGGAAUUACUUGUCUUGGAAAUGAUGUAUCUAGAACUAAAAUAUAUCUAGAUACAUCCAUUUCCGCGACAAGUAAUUCCGAAUGGAGGGAGUAGAAU